UACGGAAGGGGCAAGCGUUGUUCGGAAUCAUUGGGCGUAAAGGGCGCGUAGGCGGCGUGUCAAGUCAGGCGUGAAAGCCCCGGGCUCAACCUGGGAACCGCGCUUGAGACUGGCAUGCUCGAGUUCGGGAGAGGAUGGUGGAAUUCCCAGUGUAGAGGUGAAAUUCGUAGAUAUUGGGAAGAACACCGAUGGCGAAGGCAGCCAUCUGGACCGACACUGACGCUGAGGCGCGAAAGCGUGGGGAGCAAACAGG
This 253-nucleotide ribosomal RNA is filed under the name uncultured bacterium. RNAcentral describes it as "partial 16S ribosomal RNA". It matches the Rfam family "Bacterial small subunit ribosomal RNA", at positions 524 to 776 of the family's 1533-position model. The record is from RNAcentral.